CAGUAGCCGCGGGAAUACGGAGGGUGCAAGCGUUAAUCGGAAUUACUGGGCGUAAAGCGCACGCAGGCGGUCUGUUAAGUCAGAUGUGAAAUCCCCGGGCUUAACCUGGGAACUGCAUUUGAAACUGGCAGGCUUGGGUCUUGUAGAGGGGGGUAGAAUUCCAGGUGUAGCGGUGAAAUGCGUAGAGAUCUGGAGGAAUACCGGUGGCGAAGGCGGCCCCCUGGACAAAGACUGACGCUCAGGUGCGAAAGCGUGGGGAGCAAACAGGAUUAGAUACCCCUGUAGUCCCUGUCUCUUAUAA
RNAcentral lists this ribosomal RNA (301 nucleotides) under uncultured bacterium. Its description in RNAcentral is "partial 16S ribosomal RNA". It matches the Rfam family "Bacterial small subunit ribosomal RNA", at positions 509 to 809 of the family's 1533-position model. The record is from RNAcentral.